Non-coding RNA from Tetranychus urticae (two-spotted spider mite), 2153 nucleotides. NCBI's taxonomy places the organism in Eukaryota, Metazoa, Arthropoda, Arachnida, Trombidiformes, Tetranychidae. The record is from RefSeq and is a predicted model, not a curated record.
CCCGUUGAUUCUGUCGGUUCCGCAUGGGGUCUACACCUUAGGCUACACAAUUUAGCUUUUUUUCAGCAAAAAAAGAAUGAGUUUUUUUAAUGUAAAAACCAUUCAAGAAAAAUAGUAAAGAAAAGAUGUUGAAGAAGAGCAACAAGAAGAUAAAGACGAGAUGGAAGAAAAUCAGCAACAAUUGAACAAGAAGACGAGGUUUACCCUCCUGGUAACUACACUCACAUGGGAUUUCCUUAAUAUACCAUCUAUCCAUUCUUGGCUCAUCAAUCCUGCAUCCUUCGCUAAUUUCGGACAUAUUCAAGCUUGGGAUCGUCACUGUAUUACAUGGUUAUGGUUAACUUGAUUGAAAUAAGAUCCAUUGCAAUGUUGCCAUUGGAUUGCCUUUGAUUCUCUCUGUAUUGCUGUUUUGAUUGAUCUGUAUACGCAUUUAUCUGUCACUUGCAACAUUUUCAUUCUCUUUUUUUCUCUUUCUUCUCUCAUGCUUAGAUGAUGACGACGAUGAAGAUGGAAAAGGAUGAAAGAUAAUUCUGCAAAAACAACCAAGUAAACAUGUAAACCAAUGGAUCAACAUUUCUUUUGUCUUCUCCAACCCUGAAAGCUUUUUGCAUAAGGAAGAAGAAAAAAAAGAGAUUCAACAUAAGCUUUCAAUGAAUUCUCGUGAAUUGUUUCCAUCAACCGUAAUCUUGUUUCUUCUCAUUUCUUCCUUUUUCGCAUCUUUUUCUCUUCUCAUCUAAGAGAUUAUGUUUUUGUUAUCAAGCAAUAAUUUUCGUCUCUUUUCUGAGUCUUGUUUCGUUCAUUGAAUAACCCAAUUGAAAACAAUCCUCAAUCUAAAUCAAUGAACAAACAAAACACUGUCAUGUUCAACCAUCAUUACUCAGCUGAAUCAAAUAAUGACCCAAACAUCAUACCGAUUCUAAUAAUAAUUUUAAAGCAAAAUCAAAAGUUCAGAUACAAUUGUUGUAAAUGCAAGAAAAAGUCUGUUGGAGACAAAAAAAGCUUAAAAAAUUGUGUCAACAGAUGAUUUAACAUUAACAUACUGGAAACAUUAAGCCUUCACUUGUUUUCAAACCUUUUCUCAUAGCUUUUACCUUUACAGAAUCUUUGGUAAACAAAGUGAAUGAUCAAAUGCAUGGCAAGAAUUGAUUGAAUCUGAUUAACCUGGAUCAGUAAUGAUGCUUAAUGUAACUUUCAUUCUUCAAUCAAUAAUUAACUGUUCCAUCCAAAGUACAAUGGCAACUUACAAAUAGACCAGCAAGAGGUUUAAUUGUAUUGUUAAUAUAAAAAUGUAAAAAGGAUUUGUAUCAUUCAAUUAAUGUCAAUUGAAUAGCAUAAAUGUAAAUAAAAGUAAUUGGAAUCAUGGUGAUCCAGGAAUUGAUAACACAUUAAAGAUUGGCUUAUCAUCUCAGCUCUUCAAACUUCAUCUACUUUUUUUGGUUGCCGCUGCUGUAUUGCCUGACAAACAACAACAUCGGAUUAUUUGGCUGAGCCAUUGGAAUCAACCAAGCAUUAUAAUAACACAAGGAGUAACUACAAUCUAAAAGAGGUUCGAUUGAGCGGAUUAAUGGUUAAGGCUUAACCAGGUUCUUUACAUGGCAAACAAGAAACAAUAUUAAUCCUUGAUUACCGUUACCAAUUUUGUGCUUCUUACUUCAAUUUAAAUAAUGCUCCAUGAAAAGGGUAACCUGGAGAGGUGCAUCAAUACCACUCAUCUUCAUGUUGAUCUGCUCUUUGGAACGGUAGAAAAUUCUGAGAAUAUUUAAUCUGGCAUUGUUAUUGUUAAUGGUUUAUCAUAUUUCGCCUGAUUAUCCUCUUUAAAGAAGUGAGUUUUGGAGAAGGAAGAAAAGCCAGAGAAGAUGGUUGAAGCAAUCCAGACAAAAACUCACCAUAUCCAAUGUUGAUCAUCAUCUCCAUCAGCCUCCUCAUCAUCAUAACCAAUUCAAUUUCUCAUCUUUAAACCUUGAUUCAGUAGUGCUGUUGAAGGAGGAGUUGAUUGUUGUACAUUCACAGUGAUGGUAAAGCGUGCUAAAAAGGAGGAAACAAUGUAUUGUUGUUACCAAUGUAAAUAUAAAUGAGAUUGAGUUAAUUAAAUUCAGUCUCAACGUUUAGCAUAACAACAACAACAACAACAACUGGAAGGAACAACUGAUUCA